UUACGAGGUCAGGACACUGUGAGGAUUGACAGAUUGAAGGCUCUUUCUUGAUUCAGUGGGUGGUGGUGCAUGGCCGUUCUUAGUUGGUGGAGUGAUUUGUCUGGUUAAUUCCGUUAACGAACGAGACCUUAACCUGCUAAAUAGUCACGCGAACCGGUCCGCAAGGGCUCAAAGUUCGCGGCUCGACUUCUUAGAGGGACUAUUCGCACCCGCCAGCGAAUGGAAGUUUGAGGCAAUAACAGGUCUGUGAUGCCCCUAGAUGUUCUCGGCCGCACGCGCGUUACACUGACGGAGUCAACGAGCGUUUUUCCUUGCCCGAUAGGGUUGGGUAACCUCCUGAAACUCCGUCGUGAUGGGGAUAGAUCAUUGCAAUUAUUGAUCUUGAGCGAGGAAUUCCUAGUAGGCGCGAGUCAUCAACUCGCGCCGAUUACGUCCCUGCCCUUUGUACACACCGCCCGUCGCUCCUACCGAUUGAACGGUCCGGCGAGAACUCCGGAUGGUC
This 502-nucleotide ribosomal RNA is filed under the name Vermamoeba vermiformis. RNAcentral's name for it is "SSU rRNA". It matches the Rfam family "Eukaryotic small subunit ribosomal RNA", at positions 1215 to 1719 of the family's 1831-position model. Lineage: Eukaryota; Tubulinea; Echinamoebida; Vermamoebidae. The record is from RNAcentral.